This 497-nucleotide ribosomal RNA is filed under the name uncultured bacterium. Its description in RNAcentral is "partial 16S ribosomal RNA". It matches the Rfam family "Bacterial small subunit ribosomal RNA", at positions 28 to 507 of the family's 1533-position model. The record is from RNAcentral.
GAUGAACGCUGGCGGCGUGCCUAAUACAUGCAAGUCGAGCGAACGGACGAGAAGCUUGCUUCUCUGAUGUUAGCGGCGGACGGGUGAGUAGCACGUGGAUAACCUACCUAUAAGACUGGGAUAACUUCGGGAAACCGGAGCUAAUACCGGAUAAUAUUUUGAACCGCAUGGUUCAAAAGUGAAAGACGGUCUUGCUGUCACUUAUAGAUGGGUCCGCGCUGCAUUAGCUAGUUGGUAAGGUAACGGCUUACCAAGGCAACGAUGCAUAGCCGACCUGAGAGGGUGAUCGGCCACACUGGAACUGAGACACGGUCCAGACUCCUACGGGAGGCAGCAGUAGGGAAUCUUCCGCAAUGGGCGAAAGCCUGACGGAGCAACGCCGCGUGAGUGAUGAAGGUCUUCGGAUCGUAAAACUCUGUUAUUAGGGAAGAACAUAUGUGUAAGUAACUGUGCACAUCUUGACGGUACCUAAUCAGAAAGCCACGGCUAACUACGUG